AUGGCGGUCAUGGCGCCCCGAACCCUCCUCCUGCUACUCUCGGGUGCCCCGGCCCUGACCCAGACCUGGGCGGGCUCCCACUCCAUGAGGUAUUUCAGCACCUCCGUGUCCCGGCCGGGCCGCGGGGAGCCCCGGUACCUCGAAGUCGGCUACGUGGACGACACGCAGUUCGUGCGGUUCGACAGCGACGCCGCGAGCCCGAGGAUGGAGCUGCGGGCGUCGUGGGUGCAGCAGGAGGGGCCAGAGUAUUGGGACCGGAACACACGGAGAGCCAAGGCCAACGCACAGACUGACCGAGUGGACCUAGGGACCCUGCGCGGCUACUACAACCAGAGCGAGGCCGGUGAGUGACCCCGGCCCGGAGCGCAGGUCACGACUCCUCCCCAUUCCCCACGGACGGGCCGGGUCGCCCACAGUCUCUGCGUCCGAGAUCCACCCCGAAGCCGCGGGACCCCGAGACCCUUGACCCGGGAGAGGCCCAGGCGCCUUUACCCAGUUUCAUUUUCAGUUUAGACCAAAAAUUCCCGCGGGUUGGUCGGGGCGGGGCGGGGCGGGGCUCGGGGGAAGGGGCUGACCGCGGGGGCGGGGCCAGGUUCUCACACCAUCCAGAGGAUGUAUGGCUGCGAAGUGGGGUCCCACGGGCGCUUCCUCCGCGGGUACCGGCAGGACGCCUACGACGGCAAGGAUUACAUCGCCCUAAACGAGGACCUGCGCUCUUGGACCGCGGCGGACAUUGCAGCUCAGAUCAUCAAGCGCAAGUGGGAGGCGGCCGGUGUGGGGGAGCAGGAGAGAGCCUACCUGGAGGGCACGUGCGUGGAGUGGCUCCGCAGACACCUGAAGAACGGGAAGGAGACGCUGCAGCGCACGGACCCCCCCAAGACACAUAUGACCCACCACCCCAUCUCUGACCAUGAGGCCACCCUGAGGUGCUGGGCCCUGGGCUUCUACCCUGCGGAGAUCACACUGACCUGGCAGCGGGAUGGGGAGGACCAGACCCAGGACACGGAGCUCGUGGAGACCAGGCCUGCAGGGGAUGGAACCUUCCAGAAGUGGGUGGCUGUGGUGGUGCCUUCUGGAAAGGAGCAGAGAUACACCUGCCAUGUGCAGCAUGAGGGUCUGCCUGAGCCCCUCACCCUGAGAUGGGAGCCGUCUUCCCAGCCCACCAUCCCCAUCGUGGUCAUCAUUGCUGGCCUGGUUCUCCUUGGAGCUGUGAUCACUGGAGCUGUGGUCGCUGCUGUGAUGUGGAGGAGGAAGAGCUCAGGUGGGGAAGGGGUGAAGGAUAGAAAAGGAGGGAGAUACUCUCAGGCUGCAAGCAGUGACAGUGCCCAGGGCUCUGAUGUGUCUCUCACAGCUUGUAAAG
Molecule: small RNA, 1360 nt
Filed under: Pongo abelii (Sumatran orangutan)
Lineage: Eukaryota; Metazoa; Chordata; Mammalia; Primates; Hominidae
Description: retained intron
Source: RNAcentral